Molecule: ribosomal RNA, 423 nt
Filed under: uncultured bacterium
Lineage: Bacteria
Description: bacterial SSU rRNA
Rfam family: Bacterial small subunit ribosomal RNA
Source: RNAcentral
CGAAAGGGUGCGUAACACGUGGGUAAUUUGCCGUGAAGUUGGGGAUAACUCGCUGAAAGGCGAGCUAAUACCGAAUGUGGCCUAACAAGGCUAAAGUUGGGGACCGUAAGGCCUGACGCUUCAUGAUAAGCCCGCGGCCUAUCAGCUAGUUGGUGAGGUAACGGCUCACCAAGGCUAAGACGGGUAGCUGGUCUGAGAGGACGACCAGCCUCACUGGAACUGAGACACGGUCCAGACACCUACGGGUGGCAGCAGUCGAGAAUUUUUCUCAAUGGGGGAAACCCUGAAGGAGCGACGCCGCGUGGGGGAUGAAUGGCUUCGGCCCGUAAACCCCUGUCAUUUGCGAACAAACCUUUCGGUUUAAUAGACCGAAAGCUGAUAGUAGCGAAAGAGGAAGGGACGGCUAACUCUGUGCCAGCAGCC